RNAcentral lists this ribosomal RNA (484 nucleotides) under uncultured bacterium. Its description in RNAcentral is "partial 16S ribosomal RNA". It matches the Rfam family "Bacterial small subunit ribosomal RNA", at positions 30 to 507 of the family's 1533-position model. The record is from RNAcentral.
AUUGAACGCUGGCGGCAGGCCUAACACAUGCAAGUCGAGCGGAUGAAGGGAGCUUGCUCCUGGAUUCAGCGGCGGACGGGUGAGUAAUGCCUAGGAAUCUGCCUGGUAGUGGGGGAUAACGUCCGGAAACGGGCGCUAAUACCGCAUACGUCCUGAGGGAGAAAGUGGGGGAUCUUCGGACCUCACGCUAUCAGAUGAGCCUAGGUCGGAUUAGCUAGUUGGUGGGGUAAAGGCCUACCAAGGCGACGCUCCGUAACUGGUCUGAGAGGAUGAUCAGUCACCCUGGAACUGGGACACGGUCCAGACUCCUACGGGAGGCCGCAGUGGGGAAUAUUGGACAAUGGGCGAAAGCCUGAUCCAGCCAUGCCGCGUGUGUGAAGAAGGUCUUCGGAUUGUAAAGCACUUUAAGUUGGGAGGAAGGGCAGUAAGUUAAUACCUUGCUGUUUUGACGUUACCAACAGAAUAAGCACCGGCUAACUUCGUG